CCAGCUCCAGCUGCCGGUAGUCCUCGCUGCUGAUGUUGUACUUGCCCUUGAUCCGGAUCUCCUCGGCUUUGAGUUUUUCCUCCUCGCGCAUCUCGUGGUCCGACUCGAGGGCGUCGAAGACGGCGGCGCCCACCAGCAGAUGGGAACACUUCCAACCGGAGAGGAUCACGUGCCCAGGGACACAGGCAAUUUGGAUCCAGAACCAGCACUGAACCUCCUCCUGGCUUCUGUCCUGCGUUCCUUCAAGGACCCAGCUGCCUUCUGACCCCAAGUUCACAGUGCCACGAAUAGCCACAGACCACUCCCAAACGCCGGUUCUUCCUUUACUUCCCCCCCCCCCCCCAGUAUGGCCUUUGGACUCAAGAGAAACAAGCCUGGGAGCCGGGCCUCUGGAGGGUUCUUGGUCGGGGAGGGGGGUAAAAGGAGGGUUUCCUGGUCUGUCCAUCCAGCACCCACACUCCUCUCCUCACCCUACACUCUCCUUCCAUGGUCUUGACCUGCAGCUGGAAGUGAACUCCUUGAAGCAGAGCCUGGGUCUUGACAUCUUCCCUGUGUCCCCAGCACUCAUCCCCAAGGCAGGUGCUCAGCUAGCACUGUGGGUUGCUGCCGCAUGACAGUCCAGAAAGCGGUUAGGCUGGUGGCAGUGUGUCUGGGGAGACCACCUCCCUCUCUGCCCCUGUGGUCUGGGAGCACCAACUCCAGCUCAGGCUAGAGGUGGAUUCAGAGCUCAGGUGUGGCCAAUCAGAGCCAGGUUCCCCCAGCCACGGUGAUUGGCUGGGCGUGGCUCACCUCUCAACCAAUGAGAACCCUGGGAAAGCAUUUCUUUGAGGAGGCGUGGGAGGGAGGCAGGUACUGAGGCUGCAGGCCACUCCCCUACAGGGAGCAAAUACAUUCACUUUUUGGUUUAGGCCGCUGUGAGUUGGUUCCAAGCAGACCGGUGCUGCUGGUGCCUGUGAGCUGGCAGCCUGUCUGUGCUCCUCCAGUGAUCUGUCCCUGGGCCUACCUGGACCUCAGUGUCUUCUUUAGCAAAAACAGAUGUAUCUGAUAAUAGAGAACAUCAUGGUUUUAUAACGCUAUCUACCACCUAGUUGUUUGCUAGUUUCUUUACACACAGUGGGCGUGUCCGUAGCCCCUGGGGCUAAGAAUCACUACCCUGUGUUACCCAGAGAGGCCGACCAGCUUAUUCGGGCCCCUCAGUGAGUCAGAGUGGACCUCACUCCCAGUCUAGUGCUGCUUCUACAUCAGCGCUAUGUGUCUGUGAAAGACUCAGCUGCGGGCGGGAAGCAGGGAGGUACCGUGCUCCAGGCCAGCUACCCAGUGCAGCACAUCACACCUCCGUGCCUUUGCUCAUGCUGUUCCCUCUGCCUAUAUACCUUUCCCUGUCCUCUUCAGGCUUCCGUCUCCUCAUCUUUCAAGAUUCAGCUCUGGCAGCAUCUCCUCCAGAAGCUUCCCCUGUCCCCAGCCUGGAUGAGGCGCCUGUGUCCCUGCACAUACUUCUAUCCUGUGACCCCUUUGGUGCCAGUCACACCUCCCCUGCCAGACUGUGAGCUACUUGAGGGCAGGGGCCAUGCCGGCCUCAACUUGGUCAUGCAGGACCUGCCACACAGAACGAUCGGUGUGCAGAUUCGAGGCUCAGGGAGGAUCCGAUCUGCCCCCGGAGUUAGAGGACUCAAGAGUGGGAAGUUCAUCUAGCAUGAAAUAUGAUUAGUGGAUUUCAGGCUUCUUGAGGCAGCCUGAACCCCUGCCCAGCUCCACACCUGGUCCAUAAAUAGCUCCAUCGUGUUCCCCACGGAGCCCCAGUGCGGCCAGGAUCAAUCAGGCCAUCGGCAGAGGCUUCACCAGCUGACAGCUCCUGAGGGGGGCUGC
This is a long non-coding RNA of Balaenoptera acutorostrata (minke whale), 1866 nucleotides long. RefSeq lists it as uncharacterized. Lineage: Eukaryota; Metazoa; Chordata; Mammalia; Artiodactyla; Balaenopteridae. The transcript is spliced from 4 exons. The record is from RefSeq and is a predicted model, not a curated record.